RNAcentral lists this long non-coding RNA (1451 nucleotides) under Anas platyrhynchos platyrhynchos (common mallard). RNAcentral describes it as "lncRNA (ENSAPLG00000017489.1)". The record is from RNAcentral. Lineage: Eukaryota; Metazoa; Chordata; Aves; Anseriformes; Anatidae.
GCUCCACCACCCCUCCAGGAGCUCCGCCACCCCCUCCACCAUCCCCAUGGCCCCCUCACCCGGCCGGUACUGAUCCGUCAGGUGGCUGCCGAAGUUGUAGACGAGGUCGAGGUGGCGCCGCUCCUGCAGGCGGUUGCCCACCUCGCGGAAGGCGUCCUGGGCCAUGCUCUCCAUCUGGCGCCGGGCGAGCCCCAGGCUGUGCCGGGCGCUGGCCUUCUGGAUCACCUUGAGGAUGUCGGUGUAGUCGGGGAAGGCCUCGGGGCGGUUGAUGAAGCGCUCGAUGCGCCGGUUGACCUCGGGGUAGCGGGUGCCGCGGUAGGCGAUGCGCUGCUCGAUGACGCGGCCGGUCAGGCUGCUGCACUGCUUGAGCUCGCAGAGGCGCUGGAAGAUGCGCAUCAUCUUGCGCUUCAGCCGGCUCUCCUGCAGGUAGCUCGAGUCCUCGCUGUCCAGCUCGGCCAGGUCCAGCUCCCGCUCCUGCAGACGCCGGAUCUCGCCCGUGUAGACCCGCAGCAGGUUCUCCAGGUAGCGGAUCUGACGCUUGGAGCCGGUGGGCGGCCGCGGGGUGUGGGCCUUGAGGACGGUGCAGAGCUCGUUGAUGUAGACGUAGACCUUGUUGCGACGCGCCCGCACGCGGGCCAGGCAGCGGGCCAGGACGUUGCGCAGCUCGGCCGAGGCCAAGAAGUCCGGGCUGGCCUUCUGGUGGCGGCCCGACAGGAAGGGGAUGACCUCGGGGUGCUCCUCCGUCAGUUGGGUGCAGAGCUCCAGGAACUGAGGGGAUGGAGAGGACGAGGUGGCGCGGGGAGGGCGAGGGGGGAUACGGGGACAUGGAGGCGCAAAGGGGGACGCGGGGACUCCGGGGAGACGUUGAGAUGACAAGGAGACAUGGGAUGGAGAGGUUGAGGUGACAUGGGGGUGUCAACGGGGAUGGAGAGGUUGAGGUGACAAGGGGGUGUCAACGGGGAUGGAGAGGUUGAAAUGACAAGAACAGGCCAACAUGGGAUGGAGAUGUUGAGGUGACAAAGAGAUGUCAAGGUGGUUGAGGUGAGAAGGAAGUGUCAACAGGGAUGGAGAGGUUGAGGUGACAAGGAGGUGUCAAUGGGGAUGGAGACGUUGAGCGUACAAGAACAGGGCAACAUGGGAUGGAGAUGUCAAGGUGACAAGAUGUCAACAUGGAUUAGAGACACUGAGGUGACAAAGAGUUGUCAAGGUGGUUGAGGUGACAUGGAGGUGUCAACGGGGAUGGAGAGGUUGAGGGUACGAGAACAGGUCAACAUGGGAUGGAGAUGUUGAGGUGACAAGAUGUCAACAGGGAUGGAGAAAAUGAUGUGACAAGGAGAUGUCAAAAGGGAUGGAGACAUUGAGGUGACAAGAACAGGUCAACAUGGGAUGGAGACGUUCAGGUGACAAGAACAGGUCAACAUGGGAUGGAGACGUUGAGGUGACACGGAGAC